UGCAUGGGGUCUGCGAAUGCCCCACGAGGCGUCAUGCCGGAAUUUCGCGUCCACUCUUUACAAAAAAAAGGGACGUAUCAUG
Pararhizobium polonicum is the source of this 82-nucleotide regulatory RNA element. It matches the Rfam family "chrB-a RNA". NCBI's taxonomy places the organism in Bacteria, Pseudomonadati, Pseudomonadota, Alphaproteobacteria, Hyphomicrobiales, Rhizobiaceae. The record is from Rfam.